Molecule: ribosomal RNA, 142 nt
Filed under: uncultured bacterium
Lineage: Bacteria
Description: partial 16S ribosomal RNA
Rfam family: Bacterial small subunit ribosomal RNA
Source: RNAcentral
GGGGGAAACCCUGAUCCAGCCAUGCCGCGUGGGUGAAGAAGGCCUUCGGGUUGUAAAGCACUUUUGUCCGGGAAGAAAACCUUUGGGCUAAUACCUCGGGGGAUGACGGUACCGGCAAUAAGCACCGGCUAACUCCGUGCCA